AUCCCAUGAUGAGGACAGGCAGCCACAUACUCCAGUAGUCGUUCCCACGCCUCGAGAAUAGACUCGUCUCUUGUCUGCUGGAAACUUGAGAUUCUCCCAUGUAGGGCA
Oryza glaberrima (African rice) is the source of this 108-nucleotide non-coding RNA. The record is from Rfam. NCBI's taxonomy places the organism in Eukaryota, Viridiplantae, Streptophyta, Magnoliopsida, Poales, Poaceae.